CCUGUCCUCCGACCACCGAUACUUCUGCUUCAGGGACGUUCUGGGCGGCAACCGCCGCGCCGGAUUAGCAGCCCGCCAGCAGGGAUCUACCUCCGCUACUAGAUCUGAACUGGACAUUAAGACCAGAGGCUCCCGCGGUAGACGCUGACGCCUCCCGCUCCGCGUCUGAUUUUAAUAACCUUUUAAACCUAAACUGUUUGUCUGCCUCGAAUACUGGGUCCACUUGUUCCGAGCCUAACAAAAAACCCAGGCAGUUUGACUACAUUUUUGUCAAAGUUGUCUAAUAAAACGAAAUUAAGGAAUUAAUCCAAAUCAAGUGCUUCCAGCUGAUCACCAGGAGCACAUAUUUGAGAAGCAGUUUUACCUGGUUCUCUACUUGACCUGGGAACAAUGAAAAGUUCCUCUCUUACAUCUAAAUAAUACUUCAGAAGACUGAAGAUACAAGACUGCCCAUCACAUUUUCUAAGAAACAAAACUUUGAGUCUUUGCCUUUGCACGUGUAACAAAUCACAAAGCAACAUAAUAUCCAGUGUUCUUUUAAGGAAAAUAUACAUGUAUACAUAUAAGUUAUAUUAUCACAAUCUAAAACUCAUAAAAAGAUCUAAGUGUUUGUGUGAGAAAAUCAGAAUUUGAACAGAUAAAUAUUUUGUUGGUUAAUCUAAAAGGUUCGGGUUCUCACUGAAAUGCUCAAGUGCUCAACUUCCUUUUAGCAUGUGGGACUUCUGAAACAUUUAAUCACAAAAGCUUUGUUUGUGGUCUCAAGAUUGGCUUAAAAUGAACACAGUAAAACCAGAGUAGUGGUUUCAGUAUUAUUUGUCCUCUGGUUUUGAGUCCUGCUAACUUUACUGACUGCAGUACCAUGAGUCAUACAUGUGUAUACCUCUGGGAGUACAGUCCUAGGCAGAAAGCACAUUUUUACUGUAAUAAUGAAGCACUUAUAAUAAGCAGAGUGAUGCUCAAUAACUAUUAUAGGUAACUAUUAUAGGUAAUGACAGUAUUGAUUGAUGAUACUCAACUAUAUCUAUCAAUACUUCCUGAUGAAUUCAUUCAGAUAGACAGGCUACAGGCAUAGCAUAGAUAUGAAAACCUGGAUGACUUUCAUUUUUCUGCUUUCAAAUUCUGACCAGACAGACGUUUUCCUCUUUGGAC
Long non-coding RNA from Fundulus heteroclitus (mummichog), 1149 nucleotides. RefSeq lists it as uncharacterized. NCBI's taxonomy places the organism in Eukaryota, Metazoa, Chordata, Actinopteri, Cyprinodontiformes, Fundulidae. The record is from RefSeq and is a predicted model, not a curated record. The transcript has 2 exons.